GAUGAACGCUGGCGGCGUGCCUAAUACAUGCAAGUCGAGCGAAUGGAUUAAGAGCUUGCUCUUAUGAAGUUAGCGGCGGACGGGUGAGUAACACGUGGGUAACCUGCCCAUAAGACUGGGAUAACUCCGGGAAACCGGGGCUAAUACCGGAUAACAUUUUGAACCGCAUGGUUCGAAAUUGAAAGGCGGCUUCGGCUGUCACUUAUGGAUGGACCCGCGUCGCAUUAGCUAGUUGGUGAGGUAACGGCCCACCAAGGCAACGAUGCGUAGCCGACGUGAGAGGGGGAUCGGCCACACGGGGACUGGGUAACGGCCCAGACUCCUACGGGAGGCAGCAGUAGGGAAUCUUCCGCAAUGGACGAAAGUCUGACGGAGCAACGCCGCGUGAGUGAUGAAGGCUUUCGGGUCGUAAAACUCUGUUGUUAGGGAAGAACAAGUGCUAGUUGAAUAAGCUGGCACCUUGACGGUACCUAACCAGAAAGCCACGGCUAACUACGUGCCAGCCGCCGCGGUAA
RNAcentral lists this ribosomal RNA (515 nucleotides) under uncultured bacterium. Its description in RNAcentral is "partial 16S ribosomal RNA". It matches the Rfam family "Bacterial small subunit ribosomal RNA", at positions 28 to 523 of the family's 1533-position model. The record is from RNAcentral.